RNAcentral lists this ribosomal RNA (487 nucleotides) under uncultured bacterium. Its description in RNAcentral is "partial 16S ribosomal RNA". It matches the Rfam family "Bacterial small subunit ribosomal RNA", at positions 28 to 506 of the family's 1533-position model. The record is from RNAcentral.
GAUGAACGCUAGCGGCAGGCUUAACACAUGCAAGUCGAGGGGCAGCAUAAUGGAUAGCAAUAUCUAUGGUGGCGACCGGCGAACGGGUGCGUAACGCGUAUGCAACCUACCUUUAACAGGGGGAUAACACUGAGAAAUUGGUACUAAUACCCCAUAAUAUCAUAGAAGGCAUCUUUUAUGGUUGAAAAUUCCGAUGGUUAGAGAUGGGCAUGCGUUGUAUUAGCUAGUUGGUGGGGUAACGGCUCGCCAAGGCGACGAUACAUAUGGUGACUGAGAGGUUAAUCCGUCACACUGGUACUGGGACACGGACCAGACGCGUACGGAUGGCAGCAGUAAGGAAUAUUAGUCAAUGUACACAAAUCUGAACCAGCCAUGUCGUGUUCAGGAUGACGGUUCUAUGAGUUGUAAACUGCUUUUGUACGUGGGUAAACGCAGAUACGUUUAUCUAUCUGAAAGUAUCGUACGAAUAAGGAUCGGCUAACUCCGU